AUGUGCUCCAAACGGAAGACGUGUCAUGGAGGACCAUCUCAACAAGAGCAAGGCAGUCCUGCAAUUGCUAAUGAAGUGUUUGUCAUUGAUGAGGAGGUUUCCCAUCUUACUAGGCUUAAAUCAGAGCCAAGUGAGAGAACUCGUGCAUGCCUUCAUGCUGGCAAGAGCCAUAUCUCUACAUUCAAGCUGUUGUCAUCAAGAGAAUCCAAUCGCUCAGGAUUUGGUAGAUUCUCUUCAGCCGAUUGCUCUUAUGCUCUUCGCAAACACCUACCAGUAAGAGGCCCGUGGUGCGUUGAUAGCAUGGACUGCGCAGCAUACAUCUCACAAUUCUCUUCGGAUGGUUCUCUACUAAUUGCUGGGUUUCGGGGAGGCCGUAUCAGAUUCUAUAACGCUGACAAAAAAUGGAAGAUCCACAAGGAUAUAAACUGCAAAAGUCUGCGGUGGACAGUAUCAGAUAUUGCUCUCUCACCUGAUCAACAAUACCUAGCAUAUUCAAGUCUGACCCCUACUGUUCACAUAGUAAAUGUUCAGAAUGCUCUGAAGCAGUCACAUGCUAAUAUUACAGACAUUCAUGAGGGUUUGAAUUUUUCUGCUGCUGACGAUGAAUCCUCCUUUGGAAUAUUUUCAAUAAAGUUUUCAAAAGAUGGCCAUGAACUUGUUGUUGGAAACAGCAAUGAGUCAAUAUGUAUUUAUGAUCUUGGAGCAAACAAAGUGACAGAGCGCAUUCAUGCUCAUGUGGCUGAUGUUAAUGCGGUCACGUUCGCUGAUGAAUCUAGUGAUGUCUUGUACUCCGGAAGUGAUGAUAGCCUCUGUAAGGUGUGGGAUAGGCGCUGCCACAAGAGCGCGAAACCAGUAGGUGUUUUGGCAGGUCAUUUAGAUGGAGUUACAUUUAUUGAUAGCCGUGGAGACGGGCAUUAUUUCAUCUCCAACUGCAAGGACCAGACUAUUAAACUAUGGGAUAUCAGAAAAUUGUCCUCGGCUACGAAGGACUGCACACCGAAAGCAUACGAAUGGGAUUACAGAUGGAUGACCUAUCCAUCAGAAGCCCGAUUUUUGAAGCAUUCAUAUGAUCAAUCGCUAGCCACAUUCAGAGGCCAUUCGGUGUUGCGCACACUUAUCCGUUGUUACUUUUCCCCAAUGCACAGCACAGGUCAGAGGUACAUAUACACAGGAUCCAGUGACCAAUGUGUCUAUAUUUAUGAUGUGGCCACUGGAAACGUUGUCGAAACACUCAAAUGGCAUGAAUCGAUCGUCAGAGAUUGUUCCUGGCACCCGCACCUCCCGACGCUCGUUAGCUCUUCGUGGGACGGCUAUCUGGUAAGGUGGGAAGCAACGGAGGAUGACGACGACCCAACGACCCUCAAUAAAGGGAAACAGAAGAUGUGUCCAGAGGGAUACACAUUCACGCUGUAG
This 1413-nucleotide ribosomal RNA is filed under the name Triticum aestivum (bread wheat). Its description in RNAcentral is "partial small subunit ribosomal RNA". Lineage: Eukaryota; Viridiplantae; Streptophyta; Magnoliopsida; Poales; Poaceae. The record is from RNAcentral.